RNAcentral lists this ribosomal RNA (468 nucleotides) under uncultured bacterium. Its description in RNAcentral is "partial 16S ribosomal RNA". It matches the Rfam family "Bacterial small subunit ribosomal RNA", at positions 28 to 507 of the family's 1533-position model. The record is from RNAcentral.
GACGAACGCUGGCGGCGUGCUUAACACAUGCAAGUCGAACGGAAAGGCCCUGCUUUUGUGAGGUGCUCGAGUGGCGAACGGGUGAGUAACACGUGAGUAACCUGCCCUUGACUUUGGGAUAACUUCAGGAAACUGGGGCUAAUACCGGAUAGGAGCUCCUGUUGCAUGGUGGGGGUUGGAAAGUUUCGGCGGUUGGGGAUGGACUCGCGGCUUACCAGCUUGUUGGUGGGGUAGUGGCUUACCAAGGCUUUGACGGGUAGCCGGCCUGAGAGGGUGACCAGCCACAUUGGGACUGAGAUACGGCCCAGCCUCCUACGGGAGGCAGCAGUGGGGAAUAUUGCACAAUGGGCGGAAGCCUGAUGCAGCAACGCCGCGUGCGGGAUGACGGCCUUCGGGUUGUAAACCGCUUUCGCCUGUGACGAAGCGUGAGUGACGGUAAUGGGUAAAGAAGCACCGGCUAACUACGUG